This 53-nucleotide non-coding RNA is filed under the name Helianthus annuus (common sunflower). Lineage: Eukaryota; Viridiplantae; Streptophyta; Magnoliopsida; Asterales; Asteraceae. The record is from RNAcentral.
ACGAGCCACAUGCAGGGAAACUUGCACGUGUGGUUCAGGCCGGGGACCCCGGU